UACUCCUACGGGAGGCAGCAGUGAGGAAUAUUGGUCAAUGGGCGAGAGCCUGAACCAGCCAAGUAGCGUGCAGGAUGACGGCCCUAUGGGUUGUAAACUGCUUUUAUGUGGGGAUAAAGUGAGCUACGUGUAGUUUAUUGCAGGUACCACAUGAAUAAGGACCGGCUAAUUCCGUGCCAGCAGCCGCGGUAAUACGGAAGGUCCAGGCGUUAUCCGGAUUUAUUGGGUUUAAAGGGAGCGUAGGCCGUGGAUUAAGCGUGUUGUGAAAUGUAGACGCUCAACGUCUGAAUUGCAGCGCGAACUGGUUCACUUGAGUAUGCACAACGUAGGCGGAAUUCGUCGUGUAGCGGUGAAAUGCUUAGAUAUGACGAAGAACUCCGAUUGCGAAGGCAGCUUACGGGAGCACAACUGACGCUGAAGCUCGAAGGUGCGGGUAUCAAACAGGAUUAGAUACCCUGGUAGUCCGCACAGUAAACGAUGGAUGCCCGUUGUUAGUUCACUUUAGAAUUAGCGACCAAGCGAAAGCAUUAAGCAUCCCACCUGGGGAGUACGCCGGCAACGGUGAAACUCAAAUGAAUUGACGGA
This 585-nucleotide ribosomal RNA is filed under the name uncultured bacterium. Its description in RNAcentral is "bacterial SSU rRNA". It matches the Rfam family "Bacterial small subunit ribosomal RNA", at positions 334 to 917 of the family's 1533-position model. The record is from RNAcentral.